This 88-nucleotide transfer RNA is filed under the name Candidatus Pacearchaeota archaeon. RNAcentral's name for it is "tRNA-Ser". It matches the Rfam family "tRNA". Rfam says of the family: Transfer RNA (tRNA) molecules are approximately 80 nucleotides in length. Their secondary structure includes four short double-helical elements and three loops (D, anti-codon, and T loops). Lineage: Archaea; Nanobdellati. The record is from RNAcentral.
GGAGGAGUGGCCGAGUGGUUUAAAGCGCGGCUCUCGAAAAGCUGUUUCCCGCUUAGCGGGAUCGUGGGUUCGAAUCCCACCUCCUCCG